CUACGGGAGGCUGCCGUGGGGAAUAUUGCACAAUGGGCGCAAGCCUGAUGCCGCCAUGCCGCGUGUGUGAAGAAGGCCUUCGGGUUGUAAAGCACUUUCAGCGGGGAGGAAGGCGUUAAGGUUAAUAACCUUGGCGAUUGACGUUACCCGCAGAAGAAGCACCGGCUAACUCCGUGCCAGCAGCCGCGGUAAUACGGAGGGUGCAAGCGUUAAUCGGAAUUACUGGGCGCAAAGCGCACGCAGGCGGUCUGUCAAGUCGGAUGUGAAAUCCCCGGGCUCAACCUGGGAACUGCAUUCGAAACUGGCAGGCUAGAGUCUUGUAGAGGGGGGUAGAAUUCCAGGUGUAGCGGUGAAAUGCGUAGAGAUCUGGAGGAAUACCGAUGGCGAAGGCAGGUUACUGGGCAGUUACUGACGCUGAGGAGCGAAAGCAUGGGUAGCGAACAGGAUCAGAUACCCUUGUAGUC
Molecule: ribosomal RNA, 464 nt
Filed under: uncultured Klebsiella sp.
Lineage: Bacteria; Pseudomonadati; Pseudomonadota; Gammaproteobacteria; Enterobacterales; Enterobacteriaceae
Description: bacterial SSU rRNA
Rfam family: Bacterial small subunit ribosomal RNA
Source: RNAcentral